AAAUGGUUACUAUGGGAACACAGGCUGAGACCAACACAAGAUGGCUUCAAAGAGCAGACUGAAGCGUCAUGUUGUACUCUGAAAACAAGACAACCUUCAAGCCUACAACCAGGAAGCAAGCUUCUGGCCGUAGCAGAUAGUCAUUAAAUACUGUUGAAUGGAAGAAUGGAGGGACAAUUUUCUCAGCAUUCAAGGAGGAUCAUCAGAGCCCAAAGGGUCAAGAGACUUAGCCAAGGUUACACAGCCAGCAGGUUGGGGUUCUGCUGCCUGCUCCCACACGCUUCAUGGAUUCCAUGUCCCUCACCACACAGCAAGCAUCCGGUGCGAGGUACAGGCAGAGUCACAGGACUUCACAGGAGGGCGAAACUCACAUGACUAGAGUCAAGCCUCUGUAGUUUGCAUCCUGUCAACUGAAACGAACUUAUAAGGCACUUCAUUUCUUUUUUCAAUUCGACACAGUUGUCCUCAGCAAGAAUAAACCCCUAGGAAGCCCUGCAUAUGGAUCUACGUUGACAAAGCGAUAUGAAUAACUCAACAUCUUUUGAUUUUUGAUUUUUUAAUUAGCAUACAAAUAACCAGUUUCCUUAUGGUACUUUUAUACAUACUUAGUUCUUGUUGGCCCCUGCCCAUCCCCUUCUCCCCCAUCUCCCCAACACCAUCCCCACUCAUACCCUUCUGUCCCCAGUAGUCCUUGCUUUCUUAUCACAUGCAUCUAUUACCCUCCCACCCACCUCCCUUAAACCUCUUUUCACCUCUCUAGUUUCCUGACCUCUACUACACUCACUCCCAUAUACAUGCAUAUAUCUAAAACUUAGAAACCAGGAUCGUAGCAAAAGAGAGAGCAUGUGAUAUUUGUUUUUCUAAGCCUGGAUUACUUCCCUUCACAUAUUUACUAAA
This is a long non-coding RNA of Nannospalax galili (Upper Galilee mountains blind mole rat), 897 nucleotides long. RefSeq lists it as uncharacterized. The transcript is spliced from 3 exons. The record is from RefSeq and is a predicted model, not a curated record. Lineage: Eukaryota; Metazoa; Chordata; Mammalia; Rodentia; Spalacidae.